GACGAACGCUGGCGGCGUGCUUAACACAUGCAAGUCGAGCGGACAGGCCCCUUCGGGGGUACACGAGCGGCGAACGGGUGAGGAACACGUGAGCAAUCUGCCCAUCACAUCGGGAUAACUCCGGGAAACCGAAGCUAAUACUGAAUACGACCACCUCCUGCAUCGGAUGGUGGCGGAAAGUUCAGGCGGUGAUGGAUGAGCUCACGGCCUAUCAGCUUGUUGGUGGGGUAACGGCCCACCAAGGCGUCGACGGGUACACGGCCUGAGAGGGUGACCGGCCACACUGCGACUGAGACACGGCCCAGACUCCAAUGGGAGGCAGCGGUGGAGAAUAGUGGACAGUGGGAGAAGGCAUGGUCCAGCAACGCCGCGUGGGGGAUGACGGGUUUCGGGUUGUAAACCUAUGUCAUCAGGGCCGAAGCGAAAGUGACGGUACCUGCAGAAGAAGCCCCGGCUAACUACGUG
RNAcentral lists this ribosomal RNA (465 nucleotides) under uncultured bacterium. Its description in RNAcentral is "partial 16S ribosomal RNA". It matches the Rfam family "Bacterial small subunit ribosomal RNA", at positions 28 to 507 of the family's 1533-position model. The record is from RNAcentral.